CCUACGGGUGGCAGCAGCAAGGAAUUUUCCGCAAUGGGCGAAAGCCUGACGGAGCAACGCCGCGUGGGGGAGGACGCCCUUCGGGGUGUAAACCUCUUUUCUCGGGGACGACGAGCGACGGUACCCGAGGAAGAAGGACCGGCAAACUACGUGCCAGCAGCCGCGGUAAUACGUAGGGUCCGAGCGUUGUCCGGAGUUACUGGGCGUAAAGCGCGCGCAGGCGGCGGUCCAAGUCUGGCGUGAAAGCCCCCGGCUCAACUGGGGAGGGUCGUCGGAGACUGGGUCGCUUGAGGGUGCCAGGGGUCGGUGGAAUUCCCGGUGUAGUGGUGAAAUGCGUAGAGAUCGGGAGGAACACCUGCGGCGAAGGCGGCCGGCUGGGGCACAUCUGACGCUGAGGCGCGAAGGCGUGGGGAGCGAACGGGAUUAGAUACCCCUGUAGUC
Molecule: ribosomal RNA, 441 nt
Filed under: uncultured bacterium
Lineage: Bacteria
Description: bacterial SSU rRNA
Rfam family: Bacterial small subunit ribosomal RNA
Source: RNAcentral